This 187-nucleotide non-coding RNA is filed under the name bacterium. RNAcentral describes it as "6S RNA". It matches the Rfam family "6S / SsrS RNA". From Rfam's summary of the family: E. coli 6S RNA was the first non coding RNA to be sequenced, but its function was unknown until recently. It consists of 184 nucleotides that fold into an extended hairpin structure with a large single-stranded internal bulge. RNAcentral also lists the same sequence under 1 other name. The record is from RNAcentral.
AAUAGCCUGUUCCGUGCGUGGAGAUGAGGAGAGCCCUUGAGCCAACGCCAAUAUGAAGGGAGCCAAGUCUGGGUAGGGCCAGCAUGCCCGCCAUAUCCUGGCGGGAAGCUGAAACUACUCAGGGAGGCACCCACUUUAAAAAUAAGGGUCUCAAAGGGUCUGAUCUCCGCGGCGGAACGGGCUAUUU